This 940-nucleotide long non-coding RNA is filed under the name Homo sapiens (human). RNAcentral's name for it is "HSALNT0190575". Lineage: Eukaryota; Metazoa; Chordata; Mammalia; Primates; Hominidae. The record is from RNAcentral.
AACAGAUUUCAGCGGUGCCUUGGUGACAAGAAAAGAAAAAACCCUCCAAGGAUUCUGGAGGAAGUUGAAAGGCAGGAGGUCAGGCUUCCACCUGCAGGUAGAAUGAGUGUUUGCCAUUUCCUCAAAUUCCUUGAGACCACCCACUGGCAUGAAGGAUGGACUUUUCUUUCCCUUGCAAAAGGGAAUGCACUCUCUGAAGAAGCAUAUGCCAGCACUGGUGAGAUACAGUUCUUCAACAAGUAAGGAUCUGUCUACAUUCGGGGCACGUCUUGGGGAAGCCUUGAAGGGAAUCGUGCCUGGAGUCCCAUCUGACUUAACUCAUCAUCACAGUCCUUCAUCACAACAUAAUGAGUGUUAUUACUUCCUCAUGUGGCCUGUGGGCUUUGUUAAUUAAAGAAUGGAAAGUUCAAAGAUGGAAAUCGUCAGAGGCUUCCAAGAUGGCUGAAUAGGAACAGCUCCAGUCCGCAGCUCCCAGCAAGAUUGAUGCAGAAGGCGGAUGAUUUCUGCAUUUCCAACUAAGUGCCAUGACUUAAGGAGUGAAGAGAGGGCAUAGAGAACAAGCAGAGUAUGCAGGGCAUAUGCUGAGAUAAGAAACUGGAUCUGAAACAAGUUGAAUACUUGCAGAACAUAGAAGUUACUUGUGUAUAAAGACUUUCUUCCAUUCCAAUGACUUAUCGCUCACAAGUCCAAGAAAAUAAUCUGGAGGCAGGGAAACUAAGUGUCUAAGGCCAAGCCUCAGCUGAGAAGAGUGCAGUGAACUGAUCAUUAAUUACCUCCAUAUCUUCAAAGAAUGUUGAAACUGUGCAGCCAAGCACAGUCAUUGCCCUCAACGAGUUCAUACCUGAGCUGGAAGAAGGAUGCACAUCUACCGUUUGUUGCCAAACUACUAUUCAUCUUUCCGUUAGAGAACCAAUGUUCUCCCACCCAUGACACCCUGGUG